RNAcentral lists this long non-coding RNA (574 nucleotides) under Homo sapiens (human). RNAcentral describes it as "uncharacterized LOC102723324, transcript variant 5 (LOC102723324)". Lineage: Eukaryota; Metazoa; Chordata; Mammalia; Primates; Hominidae. The record is from RNAcentral.
AGGGCGGAAGCCACGGGACGUGGAGCAGAUGGUGAGGAUAGUGGGGAGGUAGCAGCAGAGGAUGACCCGAGGCAAAAGUGCAAGUGAAGAAAAGUCGCCUUGCCGGGCAGAGGAAAUUACUCCAGGAUUUGAAUCAUCACAAGAGAUUCACCAGAGGAUUUUAUACACUUGGGCUGUGGCAGCAGACUAAUUACAUCACAGCACUAGAGCUGAGAUACUGGCUGGGUGGAUUUCAGCAAAUUUCCAAGGGCACAUGACAUGUGGGCACAAAAGCCGGGAUUUCACACCAGGGGAUAAAGUAUAUCAGAAAUGAAGGCUGGGAUAAGUCUACGGAAGCUGCAGAAAUAACAUUCCAGAUCCCCAGGAAUCCACCCACCCACCCCUCCGACUUUGGCCGAACACCAUGGCUGGCUGCCGUGUGAAGAAUGGACUGUAGGGGGUGCCAGAGUGGCUGUGGGAAACAUCCCCUAGAAAUCUAGAAUUCAAAGCACUUACUUUGAGUGAUAUAUCCACAAGAAAGAGCCUUCUGUGCUAAAAGCAAAAAAGAAAUAAAAACAUAUCAUGUUACUUUUAA